This 427-nucleotide ribosomal RNA is filed under the name uncultured bacterium. RNAcentral's name for it is "partial 16S ribosomal RNA". It matches the Rfam family "Bacterial small subunit ribosomal RNA", at positions 354 to 796 of the family's 1533-position model. The record is from RNAcentral.
GUGGGGAAUAUUGGGCAAUGGGGGAAACCCUGACCCAGCGACGCCGCGUGAGGGAAGACGGCCUUCGGGUUGUAAACCUCUUUUGUACGGGAAGAAGGAAGUGACGGUACUGUACGAAUAAGUCCCGGCUAACUACGUGCCAGCAGCCGCGGUAAUACGUAGGGGACGAGCGUUGUCCGGAAUUACUGGGCGUAAAGGGCGCGCAGGCUGUGCUGCAAGUCAGCUGUGAAAUGUCUGGGCUUAACCCGGGCAUGCGGUUGAGACUGCAGUGCUGGAGUGCUGUAGAGGCAAGUGGAAUUCCCAGUGUAGCGGUGAAAUGCGUAGAUAUUGGGAAGAACACCGGUGGCGAAGGCGACUUGCUGGGCAGCAACUGACGCUGAGGCGCGAAAGCCAGGGGAGCAAACGGGAUUAGAAACCCGAGUAGUCC